GGUGCCGUAGCCUAGUGGUUAAGGCGAUAGACUAGAAAUCUUUUGGACAUCCCGCGCAGGUUCGAAUCCUGCCGACGACG
This 80-nucleotide transfer RNA is filed under the name Dreissena polymorpha. It matches the Rfam family "tRNA". From Rfam's summary of the family: Transfer RNA (tRNA) molecules are approximately 80 nucleotides in length. Their secondary structure includes four short double-helical elements and three loops (D, anti-codon, and T loops). Further hydrogen bonds mediate the characteristic L-shaped molecular structure. tRNAs have two regions of fundamental functional importance: the anti-codon, which is responsible for specific mRNA codon recognition, and the 3' end, to which the tRNAs corresponding amino acid is attached (by aminoacyl-tRNA synthetases). tRNAs cope with the degeneracy of the genetic code in two manners: having more than one tRNA (with a specific anti-codon) for a particular amino acid; and 'wobble' base-pairing, i.e. permitting non-standard base-pairing at the 3rd anti-codon position. Lineage: Eukaryota; Metazoa; Mollusca; Bivalvia; Myida; Dreissenidae. The record is from Rfam by way of RNAcentral.